This 299-nucleotide ribosomal RNA is filed under the name Bacteria ploiaria. RNAcentral describes it as "partial 12S ribosomal RNA". Lineage: Eukaryota; Metazoa; Arthropoda; Insecta; Phasmatodea; Diapheromeridae. The record is from RNAcentral.
GCGGUGUUUUASUNUUNUKAGAGGAACSUGUUCUUUAAUCGAUAAUCCUCGUUCUAUCUGACUUAAUAUUGUUUAUCAGUAUGUAUACCUCCGUUAUAGGUUUAUUUUUAUAGGAUUAAUUUACUUAAUAAUUUAUUUAUUAUUAUUUCAGGUCAAGGUGCAGCUUAUGGUUGAGUGGAAAUGGGUUACAUUAUUUGUAUAAACGGAUUUUUUGUUGAAAUAUUUUAUUGAAGGUGGAUUUAAUAGUAAUUUGAUUUAUAGUGUUUUAUUGAACUUAGCUCUAUAAUGAGUACACAUCG